GUCCAUUAGCGCAGCGGUUAGAGCUCACGACUUAUAAUCGUGUGGUCAUUGGUUCAAAUCCAAUAGUAGGUA
This 72-nucleotide transfer RNA is filed under the name Bacillota bacterium. Its description in RNAcentral is "tRNA-Ile". The stretch from base 6 to 65 matches the Rfam family "tRNA", at positions 7 to 64 of the family's 71-position model. From Rfam's summary of the family: Transfer RNA (tRNA) molecules are approximately 80 nucleotides in length. Their secondary structure includes four short double-helical elements and three loops (D, anti-codon, and T loops). Further hydrogen bonds mediate the characteristic L-shaped molecular structure. tRNAs have two regions of fundamental functional importance: the anti-codon, which is responsible for specific mRNA codon recognition, and the 3' end, to which the tRNAs corresponding amino acid is attached (by aminoacyl-tRNA synthetases). tRNAs cope with the degeneracy of the genetic code in two manners: having more than one tRNA (with a specific anti-codon) for a particular amino acid; and 'wobble' base-pairing, i.e. permitting non-standard base-pairing at the 3rd anti-codon position. Lineage: Bacteria; Bacillati; Bacillota. The record is from RNAcentral.